RNAcentral lists this long non-coding RNA (5006 nucleotides) under Phaseolus vulgaris (common bean). RNAcentral describes it as "long non-coding RNA (PVUL_LNC004225)". Lineage: Eukaryota; Viridiplantae; Streptophyta; Magnoliopsida; Fabales; Fabaceae. The record is from RNAcentral.
ACGAAGAAACCGGUUUCUGCAAUCAUCACGCAAGUAAUUAAGUAAUGAAUUGGUCGUGAAAAAGGAAAUGAUCAGAUGAUGCGGCGGCACAGGGUAAUCCCAUCUCCCACGGGGAGCUGGCAAAUCUCAAUCCUUGAAUCUUGUGCCAGGUACUUGUUGAGCUCCAUCACAUAGCCGCGAAGAGGCUUAAUGUAAUCCAUAAAUGGUGCAUCAGGCGACGCCGCCACAGAUCCAGCCCAUAGGGUGUUGUCGUAUCCGAUCAGCCCUCCAACCUUCACCAGAUCAAUUACCCUCUUGUGAUAGUUCAAGUAAUUGUUCUUAUCAGCAUCCACGAAAACGAAAUCGAACGUUCCCUUCUUGUUUUCCUGCAGAAUUGACACGGUUGAUUUAAUUAUCAAGCUGUUCUAGCUAUGAACUACGAUGAUCUUAAACUAGAAACGGUGCACGCACAUCUUUAAGCAGCUCGUCAAGAAAAGGAAGAGCAGGGCCUUCUUUGAAGUCGAUCUUAUGAGCCACACCAGCUUUUUCAAUGAUGGGCAAACCCAAUUCAUAGUAUUCGCGGUUCACGUCCAAAGCCAAUAUCUAAUCAAAAUAUAUUUAUGUGAAACAAAAUUCACUACUUUUAUGAUUAUGGGUAUAAUUUAAAGUUUGAUUAUGCUGUAAAAGUGAACCUUUCCAUCAGGGGGAAGAGCCAGGGCAGUGGAGAGAAGAGAAUAACCAGUGUAUACACCAAUUUCCAAGGUGUUCUUGGCAUUAAUGAGCUUAAUAAGCAUGCUCAGAAGUUGCCCUUCGUCUGGUGGUGUAGCCAUGAGGUUCCUGUUUCAUAAUAUCAUCACUAAACUAUUCAAAGAACUACUUCCCAUGAACUGGAACAAGAACAGUUUGUUGAGACUGCAUAUUUUUAACAUUUUUUUUUAUAUCCUCUAUCCUACAACUCAAUAAAUAUUAAUACUUUUUUAUUAACAAGGAGAAAAGGAGUAUGAUUUUACCAAGGGUGUUUUUGUGUCAUCUCGCGGAGCUUCUUCAAGCACUCGUGCUCUCUUGGAUAAACGUUGGUUUCAAGUAUGUACUACAAUAUAGUACAUUUGGUGGCGAUAACAUGAGACUUUGAAGCGAAAAUAUUGUUACAAUUUCAAAGAGAGAAUACAAGAGUUGCUGAAUGGACCUUAUAGAGUGCAUCGCUCUGAAGGUGACUCUUAAGAGGGGGAUCUUUGGUGUUGAAGAGAUGGUUUUUUGGUUCCUCUUCAUUAGCCAUGUCUGUCUUUAAUCUCUCGCUAGCUCAAGCUGCUUUCAGCCUUUAAACUACUGUUAUUUUUUACUUUAUGAAAGAUUUCUAUUAAUAGACAGCGACAUAAAAUAGGUACCACAUACUCUUCCUACUCGCGUUAACUUCUUUUUAUUUAUAGACUCACCUUAACUUCUUUUUAUUUAUAGUGUGUUUGGAUUGAGGAGAUGAUGUGUGAGGAUUUGAGAGAGUGAAUGUGUUAGGAUGUGAGAAAAAAGUGUGAAAAAGUGAGGUUGUUUAGAUUAGGAUAUGACAGGGUGUAUGUGUGAGAAAAAUUUAUUGGAGUUUGUGAGUGAUGUGAUGAUAGUGAGGGAGUUUUAUUUUUUUUUAAAAUUGUUAAAUGUUAUUUUACAAAUUUAUCCUUACGUAUUAAAAUUUUUACUAAUGAAAUAAGAAUUUUUUUAAAUAAACAACUUUAACAUAUUUCGUAGAUUUAAAAAUUAAAAUUAGAAAAUAAAUAUAAAUAGAUAUAAUUUAAAAAUUAUAAUUAAAAAAAAUGUAUUAAAAAACUUAAAUAAAAACAAAACUUUAAAUAAUUUCUUAAAAUAUUAAACAUACAUUAUAAAAUUAGAAAAAAAAUAACAUCUUAUAUAAAUAAAAAAUAAUAUUUUUUAUUAUUAAAAACCCUAUAGUAAUGAAAAAAAAAAUUAAAUAAAUAUAACGUAAUUAACAAUAGAAAAUAAUUUCAUAAAAAAACUAUUAUCAAAUAAAUUACUAAUUCAUAAACAUAAUAAUUAUAAAAAAAUAUAUAUUAAUAUAAACGCAACAAAAAAUUAAAUAAAAAAAACUUUAAAUAAUUUUUAAAAAUACUAAAUAUAUACUAUAAAGUUAGAAAAUAAAUCACAUCUUAUAUAAAUAAAAAAAAUAUUAUUUUUUAAUAUUAAAAACCCUUGUAGAUGAAUGAGAGAAAAUUCGAUGGGUCUUUUCCUCUACAUCUCUUCAUUUUGAGGGGAGAGGAUAUUUAUUGUUCACAGGUCUAUCCUCUCCUCCUGUUAUCUGCAAAACCCUGGAUCAAACCACUGAUAUCCCUUCACUUCUUUCCUUGUGAACAGUACAUCCAUAGAAACAAACAGAGUGUUAAUGUUUAUUUUUUUAUUUUUUUUUAAUUUAAAAUAAAUAUGUUGUCUUUAAUUUUAAAUUAGUAUUUGUAUUUCAUCUAUUCAGAUCAGAGUUCAAAGAAGUAAUUUCAUGAUACAUCCAAUAUUAAUUGGGAAAUAUACUCAAACAUAAGAUAAGAUGAAAGUAGAGGUAUCACCAUAUCAUAACUAAUCUAAUAAAAUAUAUGGACUAUUUUGAAAGGUGCCGGUAAUUUUUAUUCGUAAAUAUAUAUGAUAUAUUUUUUGUCUCCAGUAGUAUCUUGUUAUGAUAAUUACGGUGUGUUUAAAUAAACUUUUUUCUUAAAUAGACAAGAAAACAAAAACAAAAACAAAAAUGAAAUAUUUUUUUAUAAAUUAAAACUAAGUUAUGAAUAAACUAUGUGGUAGUUUUUUUAUAUAUUAUCUUUUCUAAAAGAUUAUUUUUACUUAUGUAAUAUAAGUAAUUUUAGCUUAUGAAAGAUUUUUUCUUAUUUUUAUUGUUGUAUAAAUAUUUGUGGACAAGUUUAUUCAAACAAUUUUGAAUUUAUUUUCUCACUAUUCAAAUACUGAGUUUGGAUUUCUUGAUACGGUUCUUUUAAAUGUUUGAAAGAAAAGAAAUUGAAUAUCUUUUCACUUUUUUUUCAAAGAAUUAAUGAAAUUAAAAGAGGGACACUUUAAGAUGUCUCAACCUGUAUACAAGAAUUUUGGAGCACAUACAAAGCUCUCACCUGCAAAAGGAAUGCAAUAACCUGUCCUAAAACUACUAAGAACAAAAGCACACUCCGAACAAAGUGCCAAAAAAAACUAAAUCACACCAAAAGAAUAUAUUUUCAUGAUUAAACAUUUGUGAACUAUUUUGCUCAAAAGGGAUAGAUGAAGAUUAAGUAUGAUAGUUACAUAACUCUGUUUUAGUCAUAUAUUCAAAUAAUUUUGUUGGUGUCGUUUUCGUAUAUUUAAAGCAGUUGUGUCCUUCACUAUCUAUAUUAUUGGGGUUUAGGGUUAGGUUUUAUCGUUCCUUUAUGGUUCCUCUUAUUCAUUAUUUACUGUACCCAAUGAAAAUAUUACCAACAUCUGCAGUUGUAAAAAGUGCGUAUGGAGUUCAAGUUAAAGUUUUGCCUGUUUAACACUUCAAUUCAUUGCAAUCAUGUGGAUUUAGGGACUUUAUUACAAUUUGAAUUAUAACAUUGAAAAUAAAUAAGUUCGAGAAGAAGCAUGGAAAUAAAAUAAAAUCACAAAUUCAAAAUAGAAUAAGAAAUGUCCAUUAAGCCGAAGACUACUGUGUAUUCAUAGUAUAAAAAAAUAUACAUUUAACACUGUUUAUAAUAAUAAUUUAAAUUAGAAAAUAAAAUAAUUAAAUUUAAUAAAAUAUAUAUAUAUAUAUAUAUUAGUAGAGGCUUAAAAGAAAAUAAUUAAUUUUUUUAAGUUAUGAAUCUUAUUAUUAAAAUAAAAAAUUUAAUAUUUUUUUUAAGUUAUAAGAUUUUAGUAUAAAUAGAAAAUUAUAAAGAGUUUUUAUAAAAAAAUAUUAUUAAAAUAUCAUUUAUAAAAAUAUAGUGUGAAUUAUUUAAAAAUAAAUGGCAUAAUACUAUUAAUUUAAAAUUGAAUAAAAUUAUUUGAAUUUCUUAUUACAUCCUUAUAUAAUUGAUUUUUAUUUUGAGUAUUUAAUAAUUUUUCUUCAAAUUAUAUUUUAAUCAAUUAAAAAAUUUAACUUAAAUAUUUAACAUUAACUCCAUUAGUGCUACUUCUCACAUAUUCCUAAAUGUAAAAUAGGCGUCACAAUAUUUGAAAUAUUACAAAAUAAUAUAAAUUAAAUUCUUAAUUUUUUGCAAUAAUUAAUAUACUGAAAAUCUAAAUAUACCUAAAAGGUUUUAUAUAAACAAAAUAUAAAUAAAUACCUUUUUAAGAACUUAAACAAAAAAAUAUAAUUAAUUUAUUACAUAUUUAGUCUUAAAAAAUUAUUAACUACUUUAGAAAAACAAUCAUAUAACUGGAACUUAUUUAACCCAUUGUUAAAAGUCAUUAUUUUGCAACUGUCCCAGCUGUGUUUACAUGUUCGUUGUUUGAUGGGUAUCCUUUCAGCACAUGACAAGAAAGAAACAAGAAGACCGGUUUCGGCAAUGUUCACAACCUAAUUAAGUAAUGAAUCAGUCGUGAAAAAGGAAAUGAUCAGAUGAUACGGCAGCACAGGGUAAUCCCAUCUCCCACGGGGAGCUGGCAAAUCUCAAUCCUUGAAUCUUGUGCCAGGUAUUUGUUGAGCUCCAUCACAUAGCCGCGAAGAGGCUUAAUGUAAUCGAUAAACGGUGCAUCAGGCGACGCCGCCACAGAUCCAGCCCAUAGAGUGUUGUCGUAUCCGAUCACCUUUCCGUCAGGGGGAAGAGCCAGGGCAGUGGAGAGAAGAGAAUAACCAGUGUAUACACCAAUUUCCAAGGUGUUCUUGGCAUUAAUGAGCUUAAUAAGCAUGCUCAGAAGUUGCCCUUCGUCUGGUGGUGUAGCCAUGAGGUUCCUGUUUCAUAAUAUCAUCACUAAACUAUUCGAAGAACUACUUCCCAUGAACUGGAACAAGCACGGUUUGUUCUAGAGACUACAUAUUUUUUAUUAGCAAGUACAAAAUGAGCAUGAUUUUACCGAGGAUGUUUUUCUGUCAUCUC